GUUGGAAACGACUGCUAAUACCGCAUAAGCCCACGGCUCGGCAUCGAGCAGAGGGAAAAGGAGCAAUCCGCUUUGAUAUGGCCUCGCGUCCGAUUAGCUAGUUGGUGAGGUAACGGCCCACCAAGGCGACGAUCGGUAGCCGGACUGAGAGGUUGAACGGCCACAUUGGGACUGAGACACGGCCCAGACUCCUACGGGAGGCAGCAGUGGGGAAUAUUGCACAAUGGGGGAAACCCUGAUGCAGCGACGCCGCGUGGAGGAAGAAGGUCUUCGGAUUGUAAACUCCUGUUGUUGGGGAAGAUAAUGACGGUACCCAACAAGGAAGUGACGGCUAACUACGUGCCAGCAGCCGCGGUAAAUCGUAGGUCACAAGCGUUGUCCGGAAUUACUGGGUGUAAAGGGAGCGCAGGCGGGAAGACAAGUUGGAAGUGAAAUCUAUGGGCUCAACCCAUAAACUGCUUUCAAAACUGUUUUUCUUGAGUAGUGCAGAGGUAGGCGGAAUUCCCGGUGUAGCGGUGGAAUGCGUAGAUAUCGGGAGGAACACCAGUGGCGAAGGCGGCCUACUGGGCACCAACUGACGCUGAGGCCCGAAAGUGUGGGUAGCAAACAGGAUUAGAUACCCUGGUAGUCCACACCGUAAACGAUGAUUACUAGGUGUUGAGGAUUGACCCCUUCAGUGCCGCAGUUAACACAAUAAGUAAUCCACCUGGGGAGUACGACCGCAAGGUUGAAACUCAAAGGAAUUGACGGGGGCCCGCACAAGCAGUGGAGUAUGUGGUUUAAUUCGACGCAACGCGAAGAACCUUACCAAGUCUUGACAUCCCUUGACGAUGCUGGAAACAGUGUUUCUCUUCGGAGCAAGGAGACAGGUGGUGCAUGGUUGUCGUCAGCUCGUGUCGUGAGAUGUUGGGUUAAGUCCCGCAACGAGCGCAACCCUUAUGGUCAGUUACUACGCAAGAGGACUCUGGCCAGACUGCCGUUGACAAAACGGAGGAAGGUGGGGAUGACGUCAAAUCAUCAUGCCCUUUAUGACUUGGGCUACACACGUACUACAAUGGCGUUAAACAAAGAGAAGCAAGACCGCGAGGUGGAGCAAAACUCAGAAACAACGUCCCAGUUCGGACUGCAGGCUGCAACUCGCCUGCACGAAGUCGGAAUUGCUAGUAAUCGUGGAUCAGCAUGCCACGGUGAAUACGUUCCCGGGCCUUGUACACACCGCCCGUCACACCAUGAGAGCCGGGGGGACCCGAAGUCGGUAGUCUUACCGCAAGGAGGACGCCGCCGAAGGUAAAACUGGUGAUUGGGGUGAAGUCGUAACAAGGU
This 1323-nucleotide ribosomal RNA is filed under the name metagenome. RNAcentral describes it as "bacterial SSU rRNA". It matches the Rfam family "Bacterial small subunit ribosomal RNA", at positions 149 to 1497 of the family's 1533-position model. The record is from RNAcentral.